CAAGUCGAACGCGAAAGUUCCCUUCGGGGAGCGAGUAGAGUGGCGCACGGGUGAGUAACACGUAGGUAAUCUACCUUUGGAUUGGGAAUAACCACCGGAAACGGUGGCUAAUACCGAAUAAUGCAGCGGCACCUAAUGGUGACAGUUGUUAAAGCGGGGGAUCGCAAGACCUCGCGUCUGAAGAGGAGCCUGCGGCAGAUUAGCUAGUUGGUAAGGUAACGGCUUACCAAGGCAAUGAUCUGUAGCCGGCCUGAGAGGGCGGUCGGCCACACUGACACUGACAUACGGGUCAGACUCCUACGGGAGGCAGCAGUCGGGAAUUUUGGGCAAUGGGCGAAAGCCUGACCCAGCAACGCCGCGUGAAGGAUGAAAUCCUUCGGGAUGUAAACUUCGCAAGAACGGGAAGAAUAAGUAAGAGCUAACAUCUCUUAUGAUGACGGUACUGUUUGUAAGCUCCGGCUAACUCCGUGCCAGCAGCCGCGGUAAUACGGGGGGAGCAAGCGUUGUUCGGAUUUACUGGGCGUAAAGGGCGCGUAGGCGGCCACCGCAAGUCAGUUGUGAAAUCUCUGGGCUUAACCCAGAACGGUCAGCUGAUACUGCGGGGCUAGAGUGCAGAAGGGGCAACUGGAAUUCUCGGUGUAGCGGUGAAAUGCGUAGAUAUCGAGAGGAACACCUGCGGCGAAGGCGGGUUGCUGGGCUGACACUGACGCUGACAGCGCGAAAGCUAGGGGAGCGAACGGGAUUAGAUACCCCGGUAGUCCUAGCCUUAAACGAUGAAUGCUUGGUGUCUGGGGUUUUAUAGUCCCCGGGUGCCGUCGCUAACGCUUUAAGCAUUCCGCCUGGGGAGUACGGUCGCAAGACUGAAACUCAAAGGAAUUGACGGGGACCCGCACAAGCGGUGGA
Molecule: ribosomal RNA, 903 nt
Filed under: uncultured Bacillota bacterium
Lineage: Bacteria; Bacillati; Bacillota
Description: bacterial SSU rRNA
Rfam family: Bacterial small subunit ribosomal RNA
Source: RNAcentral